This is a non-coding RNA of Stegodyphus mimosarum, 73 nucleotides long. Lineage: Eukaryota; Metazoa; Arthropoda; Arachnida; Araneae; Eresidae. The record is from Rfam.
GCCUUCGGGGUCUACUAGUCAGCACGCUCGACUCGUAUUCGGGAGGUCCGUGGUUCGAGUCCUGGCAAGGGCA